Seriola aureovittata is the source of this 1045-nucleotide long non-coding RNA. RefSeq lists it as uncharacterized. Lineage: Eukaryota; Metazoa; Chordata; Actinopteri; Carangiformes; Carangidae. The record is from RefSeq and is a predicted model, not a curated record. The transcript is spliced from 2 exons.
GCGUCACAGCUCAGGAAUUGGAACAAAUCCGGCCAUCUGAUUGGCUGGCCGUGUUCCGGGGUUUAAGGAAUUGGAACAAAUGCAGCACGGUGAUUGGGAGAGGCGGGACAUCGCCUCGCCGAGGACAGCCAUUGGUUCAGAAGUUGGAACAAUUGGAACAGAGAAGAUGGAACAUGCAAAUUCGUGAAGCGUUACUCUUUUUUCAUUAAAAUUUUUGUCCACUGACUCUAAUGGAACAGCGCCCCCACCGCCGGCGGCGCUGGCGGGAACUGCAGCGGCAGGACUCAGUGUUUGUUACAAACUGCAUCUGAAGUAAUUAUACGACUAAACCGAGCUGCUCUUUAAAAUCAACGACUGUUAAUAAAAACUACACGUCACACAGACAAAGGAACGUGAUUAUCAGCUGUUCUUUCUCUGUGUGAAGGAUCACAGCGCCACCUACCGGACAAACCACGUGAUACUCUGAAGUAAAAUGUCACAACACCUCAAAUCUAAGUGACGUGCUUCUAAAAUAAAAGCCGCAGUAUGUUGAUGGAGAACGGUGUAAACUGUUAUUACUGGUAUUAUUGAUAACACCAUUUACACCUCCAGGUCUUCUCUCCCUCCUGUCGCCUCACCUCUGAACCCAGCCGGUGGAGGAGUGGAGCAGAAGGUCAGCGGUUCGAUACCCGGUCGUUACAAAACUGGAGAAAAGCUUCAGGGGUCGCUGCACAGCGUAACUGAGGUCUUUGUCAAUAAUGUGGCCGCCUGAUAAACACAGAACAGUGAUGUAUUAUCCACCAGACAGUGACGGAGGAAAAACCAAGAUUAAGAUUAAUUGUCUGAGUGAAGUUGUUAAACUGGACACCUGCUGAUUGUCACUGAUUUCUGUCAUUAACAUGAAUAUUGUGUUGACUUUUUAAUGUUUUGACCUUUGAACCCUGACAGGUUGACUGACAUGAGUCAUCCAUAUUAUUUUGUCAGUGUUGCAUUUGCAUGUUACUGUCCUCGUGUUUACAUGUCACAUAAUGUAAAUAAAUCAUAAAUAAUAAAGCUUUCAAACAAA